UACGGAGGGAGCUAGCGUUGUUCGGAAUUACUGGGCGUAAGGCGCACGUAGGCGGCGAUUUAAGUCAGAGGUGAAAGCCCGGGGCUCAACCCCGGAAUAGCCUUUGAGACUGGAUUGCUUGAAUCUUGGAGAGGUGAGUGGAAUUCCGAGUGGAGAGGUGAAAUUCGUAGAUAUUCGGAAGAACCCCAGUGGCGAAGGCGGCUCACUGGACAAGGAUUGACGCUGAGGUGCGAAAGCGUUGGGAGCAAACAGG
This 253-nucleotide ribosomal RNA is filed under the name uncultured bacterium. RNAcentral's name for it is "partial 16S ribosomal RNA". It matches the Rfam family "Bacterial small subunit ribosomal RNA", at positions 524 to 776 of the family's 1533-position model. The record is from RNAcentral.